CACCGGCGCAAAGCGCGAUGAGGGUUCCCAAGUGCCACCUCGUAAAAUUUGGCUGUUUCUCUGUCUAAAAAGCAAAGAGAGUAAGGGCUGGGUAAGACGGGUGCCAGCCGCCGCGGUAAUACCUGCAGCUCGAGUGGUGGCCGCUAUUAUUGGGCCUAAAACGUCCGUAGCCGGUUUUAUAAAUGCCUGGGUAAAUCGUGUGGCUUAACCAUACGAAUUCCGGGUAGACUGUUAAACUUGAGACCGGGAGAGGCUAGAGGUACUCCUGGGGUAGAGGUGAAAUUCUGUAAUCCUGGGGGGACCACCAGUGGCGAAGGCGUCUAGCUAGAACGGGUCUGACGGUGAGGGACGAAGCCCUGGGGCGCAAACCGGAUUAGAUACCCGGGUAGUCCAGGGUGUAAACGCUGCUUGCUUGAUGUUAGUUGGGCUCCGAGCCCAACUAGUGUCGGAGAGAAGUUGUUAAGCAAGCUGCCUGGGGAGUACGGUCGCAAGACUGAAACUUAAAGGAAUUGGCGGGGGA
RNAcentral lists this ribosomal RNA (520 nucleotides) under uncultured archaeon. RNAcentral's name for it is "bacterial SSU rRNA". It matches the Rfam family "Archaeal small subunit ribosomal RNA", at positions 353 to 875 of the family's 1478-position model. The record is from RNAcentral.